AAAUCCUGCAGCUUAACUGGUGGGAAUGCUGGAGAUACUAUUAGACUGAGACCGGGAGAGGUUAGAGGUACUCCCAGGGGUAGAGGUGAAAUUCUGUAAUCCUGGGAGGACCGCCUGUUGCGAAGGCGUCUAGCUGGAACGGUUCUGACGGUGAGGGACGAAAGUUAGGGGCGCGAACCGGAUUAGAUACCCGGGUAGUCCUAACUGUAAACGAUGCGGACUUGGUGUUGGGGUGGCUUUUGAGCUGCUUCAGUGCCGAAGGGAAGCUGUUAAGUCCGCCGCCUGGGAAGUACGGUCGCAAGACUGAAACUUAAGGAAUUGGCGGGGGAGCACCACAACGCGUGGAGCCUGCGGUUUAAUUGGAUUCAACGCCGGACAUCUCACCAGAGGCGACAGCUGUAUGAUAGCCAGGUUGAUGUACUUUGCUUGACUAGCUGGAGGGGUGGUGCAUGG
Molecule: ribosomal RNA, 453 nt
Filed under: uncultured archaeon
Lineage: Archaea
Description: bacterial SSU rRNA
Rfam family: Archaeal small subunit ribosomal RNA
Source: RNAcentral